AAAAGAUCCAUAUAGCCAAUCCUAACUAGUUUGGGAUUAUAGUUAUUGUUGUUUUAACUCAAUACUCAUAACAUUUUAAAGAUCAUUUCCAACAAAAAUCAUUUAAAUCAAACCUCUAUAACUAUAUAUAUAUAUAUUUAUAAGGAGAUUGGGGGAGUAGGGACUUGAACCUAAUAUCUGUCAAGUGAGUGAUAUGCUUUUGUCCAUUGGAACAAACCAAGCUAGGCCUAUAAUCAUACUCUUUAAUACAAAUAUAAUAACAAUAUUUCUCAAUUUCAUAAUUUGGCAACAUAUGUUCAAAUAUAUAUAUAUAUUUCAAUCCAACCAUCAGAUCAUUCUCAAAUUUUUACCAUAUAGAAAAGACUUACAAAUAUUAACAAAAAAUAACCAUUAAAUAUAUCACAAAAAAAACUUACCCAUUUGGUUGAAACAAUAGCGGUCCAUUUGCGUCUUCUUCUUCUUCUUUCUCUUUACUCCUUCUGAUCUUCCUCUCUUCAUUCUCCUUCACACCGAAUAUCAAGUUGAUAAAGUUGCCCCUAUCAAUAUUUUUGUUUAUAAAAUUACCAUUUGGUCCUUCAAACUUUGAAAACUCUACUUUUGUACUCCAAAACUUUAUUACUCUUAAGUCCUAAGCAAUUUUACAUUUCUCCACAAAAAUUUCAUUUUCUUCCCUAAUUAUUUACAUCUUGAUUUUUCAAUCAUUUUCAGAGUUUGGGGUAUUACAAUGGUUGAAUUUGAAGUUAGUUUGGAUGUCUAUUUGGUGUAGCUGUGGUGACGUAGUUGAGGCUAGGUAAGGAGAGGGGCAUUAGAAAACCGAAUUUGGGUAGGUUUGGAGAAAGAGUGGGAAGUCGAGGAAAAGGGUGGUGCAACAGCAAACUAAUUAAGGGAGGAAUAGAGUAGAGCAAGGGAGGAAUUUUUAUUUUCUUUUGUGGUUGUGGGGGUGGGUAGUGUGGUGCUGUAGGUGUUGGGGGUUCCGGGUGGGGAGGUUGAAUAGACAAAUGCAGAGGAGAGGGGAAAGAGGAGGCAGGGUGUGAAUGAGGAUAUUAAAGUAUUUUCAUUUGUGAUUAAUGGAAAAAUAAAUAAAAUUUGGACUGAAGGACCUUAUUGUUAACCAAAGCAAUAUAAGGACAAACUAAUGUAAUUUUCAAAAAUUGAAAGAUUGAAUUGUAAAUAAUGACAAACCCUAAGAAUUAAAUAGUAAUUUCUCUAAUAUUUUUCUAUAUUUUAUUCCAUUUGUUUUUAUGGUGGUAUCGUACUUGUUGAAAAAUUUGCUUUGUUGUGAUCAUUUGGUGGAAAUCUCUAAGAAUUAGUCUCUUAACAUAAAUAGG
Molecule: unclassified non-coding RNA, 1328 nt
Filed under: Hevea brasiliensis (rubber tree)
Lineage: Eukaryota; Viridiplantae; Streptophyta; Magnoliopsida; Malpighiales; Euphorbiaceae
Source: RNAcentral